GAUGAACGCUGGCGGCGUGCUUAACACAUGCAAGUCGAACGGAAAGGCCCAAGCUUGCUUGGGUACUCGAGUGGCGAACGGGUGAGUAACACGUGGGUGAUCUGCACUGCACUUCGGGAUAAGCCUGGGAAACUGGGUCUAAUACCGGAUAGGACCAAAUUUUGGAUGGUGUGGUGGAAAGUUUUUCGGUGUGGGAUGAGCUAGCGGCCUAUCAGCUUGUUGGUGGGGUAAUGGCCUACCAAGGCGUCGACGGGUAGCCGGCCUGAGAGGGUGUACGGCCACAUUGGGACUGAGAUACGACCCAGACUCGUACGGGAGGCAGCAGUGGGGAAUAGUGCACAAUGGGCGCAAGCCUGAUGCAGCGACGCCGCGUGGGGGAUGACGGCCUUCGGGUUGUAAACUCCUUUCGCUAGGGACGAAGCGCAAGUGACGGUACCUGGAGAAGAAGCACCGGCUAACUACGUG
RNAcentral lists this ribosomal RNA (465 nucleotides) under uncultured bacterium. Its description in RNAcentral is "partial 16S ribosomal RNA". It matches the Rfam family "Bacterial small subunit ribosomal RNA", at positions 28 to 507 of the family's 1533-position model. The record is from RNAcentral.